RNAcentral lists this long non-coding RNA (315 nucleotides) under Patiria miniata (bat star). RNAcentral describes it as "uncharacterized LOC119738607, transcript variant X1". The record is from RNAcentral. Lineage: Eukaryota; Metazoa; Echinodermata; Asteroidea; Valvatida; Asterinidae.
GCGUGUGACUUGUGACCUGGAAUUCGUCAAGUCGCAACGUACGAAGUGUACAUGUGUCAUGGCGUGACGAGUGGGGACCUUCGUGGCCAUGUUUUGGCAUGAUUUCGGAGAUUCAGACGGAAAUCUCAAAGACCUAUGGGUUGUCUCUCGGACGCUGUGGAGGAGGUUUGCCUACAGUUCUUCUUAUGCGGAGUGUACGGCAUUCCACCAUGACACGCAGAUGACGUACCCUGCCCUGACGAAGGAUACCUUCAGAAAAUUUGACAAUUUUCAUCGGUUUUGAAGAGUUUCCUCCUAUUUCUGGAUUGAAGAUGG